AAGAGGUUUUCAGUAUUUGUGAAGUAAGUUCAGGAUAGUACUAGCGUAGAAUAAAAUUUUUAAGAUAGAUUAUUGAUAGAGUUCAUGCACUUCGGAUUGAUUUAAUAUUGGCCAGGCUUUACGAAUAAGGUUCGUCAGAAUCAAUUCUGUUCCGCUUCUGAUUUUUCCGUUGUUUUAGUAUCGGACGAUUCCAUGGGUAGAAAUCACUGGGUUGCGUUGAAUUAAUGAAUGGACUUUUAUCUGCUUCGAUAUUUUGGGUGUUUCUGUUCUUCGUUUCUUUGUUAUCCGUGUGUAUUGGUUCACUGUCAUCGCUUGGUUCGUAUAAUUCCCCUUCUAUGAACAGUUUAUCUCUUAUCAAUAUAGCUUUCUUUCGGUCUUUCUUUGCCUGCUUUAAUAUAGGAUAUAGUUUUUUCCUCUUCUUUUCGAUUUUUACCGGAAAUUGUUCUCUGACAGAAAUAUGUGUCCCCUUUAAUUUGUGACAGUUCCUCAUAACUAAUUGUUUAUCUUUCAAAGAUACAAAUUUAGUCAUUAUUCUUUGAAUAUUUUGUCUUUGUUUUCCAAAACGAUGUACAGAAACGAAAUUGAUAUUUUUCCCUAUU
RNAcentral lists this long non-coding RNA (599 nucleotides) under Mytilus galloprovincialis (Mediterranean mussel). The record is from RNAcentral. Lineage: Eukaryota; Metazoa; Mollusca; Bivalvia; Mytilida; Mytilidae.